GGAGAGGUAGCCUAAUUGGUAAGGCAGUAGUCUUGAAAACUACCGCGCGACGAGCGCUUGCAGGUUCGAGUCCUGUCCUCUCCGCCA
This 87-nucleotide transfer RNA is filed under the name Acidobacteriota bacterium. Its description in RNAcentral is "Acidobacteria bacterium tRNA-Ser". It matches the Rfam family "tRNA". Rfam says of the family: Transfer RNA (tRNA) molecules are approximately 80 nucleotides in length. Their secondary structure includes four short double-helical elements and three loops (D, anti-codon, and T loops). The record is from RNAcentral. Lineage: Bacteria; Pseudomonadati; Acidobacteriota. RNAcentral also lists the same sequence under 1 other name.